AGCGCAGAAGCGAGAUUUUUUAAAAUAUUAGGAAGCGGGUACGUGUUGGAAGCGUAUAUCCAUAUAUAAAUAAAUAUAAAUAUAUAUAUAUAAUAUUAAUUUUUGAAAAAAUUAGGACUAAAAAUUAUAUGAUUUAAAUUUAAAAUAAAGCAUUCAUUCAUUUAUAAUAUUUUUGAAAUGAUUUUAUAUUAAAACUGUAAAAAUACACAUAAAUGAAGUUUACAAAAAAUAUUAUAUUAAUUAGUUUUAAUACUUCAUAAAUAAUUGACACAAUAUAUUUCAAUAUGUGCUAUAUCUUUAAUAAAAAAUCUCAAUGCAUAAAGAUAAUUUAUAGUAUUAUUUUUAAUAUUUGUAUAUUAAUAACUCAAUAUUCAUUACUAUUGAUUUUUUAUUUUAUAUAGAUUAAAACUACGGUUUUAUAUUUUAUUGAUAUACAUUGCAUUUUUUUUUUAAAAACGGAAGCGUGAUUCCAAAACGGAAUCGUAAGCUUCCAACAAGUUUUUAAAGAGAAUAUUUUAGAAACGUUUUGGAAGCGAGAUUCCGCAAGCUUCCACAAGAUUCCGAUUCCGAUUCCGGUUCCGAAGCGGGAAGCGGACGUCCGAUGAAGCUUCCGUGCAACGUAGGG
Molecule: long non-coding RNA, 625 nt
Filed under: Brassica rapa (field mustard)
Lineage: Eukaryota; Viridiplantae; Streptophyta; Magnoliopsida; Brassicales; Brassicaceae
Description: long non-coding RNA (BRAP_LNC001897)
Source: RNAcentral